ACGGAGGAUGCGAGCGUUAUCCGGAUUUAUUGGGUUUAAAGGGUGCGUAGGCGGAUUAAUAAGUCAGUGGUGAAAACCUGCAGCUUAACUGUAGAACUGCCAUUGAUACUGUUAGUCUUGAGUACGGUCAAGGUAGGCGGAAUGUGUAAUGUAGCGGUGAAAUGCUUAGAUAUUACACAGAACACCGAUUGCGAAGGCAGCUUACUGGGCCAUUACUGACGCUGAUGCACGAAAGCGUGGGGAGCGAACAG
RNAcentral lists this ribosomal RNA (251 nucleotides) under uncultured prokaryote. RNAcentral describes it as "partial 16S rRNA". It matches the Rfam family "Bacterial small subunit ribosomal RNA", at positions 525 to 775 of the family's 1533-position model. The record is from RNAcentral.